UCCUUGGGUUCAUACGCGUGAUGAUUGGGUGUUCACACUAUUGUGUGAGAUGUGCCUCCCUCUAAACCUUGUUACGACAUGGGCACAUUACCCGUCUGAC
Molecule: small nucleolar RNA, 100 nt
Filed under: Marmota monax (woodchuck)
Lineage: Eukaryota; Metazoa; Chordata; Mammalia; Rodentia; Sciuridae
Rfam family: Small nucleolar RNA U13
Source: RNAcentral